GACGAACGCUGGCGGCGUGCCUAAUACAUGCAAGUAGAACGCUGAAGCGAGGAGCUUGCUCUUCUUGGAUGAGUUGCGAACGGGUGAGUAACGCGUAGGUAACCUGCCUUGUAGCGGGGGAUAACUAUUGGAAACGAUAGCUAAUACCGCAUAACAAUAGGUGACACAUGUCAUUUAUUUGAAAGGGGCAAUUGCUCCACUACAAGAUGGACCUGCGUUGUAUUAGCUAGUAGGUGAGGUAACGGCUCACCUAGGCGACGAUACAUAGCCGACCUGAGAGGGUGAUCGGCCACACUGGGACUGAGACACGGCCCAGACUCCUACGGGAGGCAGCAGUAGGGAAUCUUCGGCAAUGGGGGCAACCCUGACCGAGCAACGCCGCGUGAGUGAAGAAGGUUUUCGGAUCGGAAAGCUCGGUUGUAAGUCAAGAACGAGUGUGAGAGUGGAAAGUUCACACUGUGACGGUAGCUUACCAGAAAGGGACGGCUAACUACGUG
Molecule: ribosomal RNA, 497 nt
Filed under: uncultured bacterium
Lineage: Bacteria
Description: partial 16S ribosomal RNA
Rfam family: Bacterial small subunit ribosomal RNA
Source: RNAcentral